This 253-nucleotide ribosomal RNA is filed under the name uncultured bacterium. RNAcentral describes it as "partial 16S ribosomal RNA". It matches the Rfam family "Bacterial small subunit ribosomal RNA", at positions 524 to 776 of the family's 1533-position model. The record is from RNAcentral.
GACGUAGGGCGCGAGCGUUGUCCGGAUUUACUGGGCGUAAAGGGCGCGUAGGCGGCGCAACAAGUCACUUGUGAAAUCUCCGGGCUUAACCCGGAGCGGCCAAGUGAUACUGUCGUGCUAGAGUGCGGAAGGGGCUACUGGAAUUCUCGGUGUAGCGGUGAAAUGCGUAGAUAUCGAGAGGAACACCUGCGGCGAAGGCGGGUAGCUGGGCCGACACUGACGCUGAUGCGCGAAAGCCAGGGGAGCGAACGGG